UGGGGAAUAUUGCACAAUGGGCGCAAGCCUGAUGCAGCCAUGCCGCGUGUGUGAAGAAGGCCUUCGGGUUGUAAAGUACUUUCAGUCGGGAGGAAGGUGUCAAGGUUAAUAACCUUGUCGAUUGACGUUACCCGCAGAAGAAGCACCGGCUAACUCCGUGCCAGCAGCCGCGGUAAUACGGAGGGUGCAAGCGUUAAUCGGAAUUACUGGGCGUAAAGCGCACGCAGGCGGUCUGUCAAGUCGGAUGUGAAAUCCCCGGGCUCAACCUGGGAACUGCAUUCGAAACUGGCAGGCUAGAGUCUUGUAGAGGGGGGUAGAAUUCCAGGUGUAGCGGUGAAAUGCGUAGAGAUCUGGAGGAAUACCGGUGGCGAAGGCGGCCCCCUGGACAAAGACUGACGCUCAGGUGCGAAAGCGUGGGGAGCAAACAGG
RNAcentral lists this ribosomal RNA (429 nucleotides) under Chloroflexota bacterium. RNAcentral describes it as "Chloroflexi bacterium partial 16S ribosomal RNA". It matches the Rfam family "Bacterial small subunit ribosomal RNA", at positions 355 to 776 of the family's 1533-position model. The record is from RNAcentral. Lineage: Bacteria; Bacillati; Chloroflexota.